UACGGAGGGUGCGAGCGUUGUUCGGAAUCACUGGGCGUAAAGCGCACGUAGGCGGAUCUUUAAGUCAGAGGUGAAAUCCCAAGGCUCAACCUUGGAACUGCCUUUGAUACUGGGGAUCUUGAGUUCGGGAGAGGUGAGUGGAACUGCGAGUGUAGAGGUGAAAUUCGUAGAUAUUCGCAAGAACACCAGUGGCGAAGGCGGCUCACUGGCCCGAUACUGACGCUGAGGCACGAAAGCGUGGGGAGCAAACAGG
RNAcentral lists this ribosomal RNA (253 nucleotides) under uncultured bacterium. Its description in RNAcentral is "partial 16S ribosomal RNA". It matches the Rfam family "Bacterial small subunit ribosomal RNA", at positions 524 to 776 of the family's 1533-position model. The record is from RNAcentral.